AACGCUAGCGGCAGGCUUAACACAUGCAAGGUCGAGGGGCAGCAUGACACGGAGAUUCGUCGAAGUGUUGAUGGCGACCGGCGCAAGGGUGCGUAACGCGUGAGCAACUUGCCCGUUUCUGGGGAAUAACCGGUGGAAACGCCGACUAAUACCCCAUGGCAUCAGAAUGAGGCAUCUCAAUCUGAUUAAAGAAUUUCGGAAACGGAUAGGCUCGCGUGACAUUAGCUAGAUGGCGGGUAACGGCCCACCAUGGCAACGAUGUCUAGGGGUUCUGAGAGGAAGGUCCCCCACACUGGUACUGAGACACGGACCAGACUCCUACGGGAGGCAGCAGUGAGGAAUAUUGGUCAAUGGGCGGAAGCCUGAACCAGCCAAGUAGCGUGAAGGAUUACUGCCCUACGGGUUUUAAACUUCUUUUAUGCGAGAGUAAUGUGCGCUACGUGUAGCGUAUUGCAAGUAUCGCAUGAAUAAGCAUCGGCUAACUCCGUG
This 489-nucleotide ribosomal RNA is filed under the name uncultured bacterium. Its description in RNAcentral is "bacterial SSU rRNA". It matches the Rfam family "Bacterial small subunit ribosomal RNA", at positions 32 to 507 of the family's 1533-position model. The record is from RNAcentral.